This 253-nucleotide ribosomal RNA is filed under the name uncultured bacterium. RNAcentral describes it as "partial 16S ribosomal RNA". It matches the Rfam family "Bacterial small subunit ribosomal RNA", at positions 524 to 776 of the family's 1533-position model. The record is from RNAcentral.
UACGGGGUGGGCAAGCGUUGUUCGGAAUUACUGGGCGUAAAGGGCUCGUAGGCGGCCAACUAAGUCAGACGUGAAAUCCCUCGGCUUAACCGGGGAACUGCAUCUGAUACUGGAUGGCUUGAGUUCGGGAGAGGGAUGUGGAAUUCCAGGUGUAGCGGUGAAAUGCGUAGAUAUCUGGAGGAACACCGGUGGCGAAGGCGGCAUCCUGGACCGACACUGACGCUGAUGAGCGAAAGCCAGGGGAGCAAACGGG